GACGAACGCUGGCGGCGUGCCUAAUACAUGCAAGUAGAACGCUGAAGGAGGAGCUUGCUCUUCUGGAUGAGUUGCGAACGGGUGAGUAACGCGUAGGUAACCUGCCUGGUAGCGGGGGAUAACUAUUGGAAACGAUAGCUAAUACCGCAUAACAGUAGAUGUUGCAUGACAUCUACUUAAAAGGUGCAAUUGCAUCACUACCAGAUGGACCUGCGUUGUAUUAGCUAGUUGGUGGGGUAACGGCUCACCAAGGCGACGAUACAUAGCCGACCUGAGAGGGUGAUCGGCCACACUGGGACUGAGACACGGCCCAGACUCCUACGGGAGGCAGCAGUAGGGAAUCUUCGGCAAUGGACGGAAGUCUGACCGAGCAACGCCGCGUGAGUGAAGAAGGUUUUCGGAUCGUAAAGCUCUGUUGUAAGAGAAGAACGAGUGUGAGAGUGGAAAGUUCACACUGUGACGGUAUCUUACCAGAAAGGGACGGCUAACUACGUG
Molecule: ribosomal RNA, 495 nt
Filed under: uncultured bacterium
Lineage: Bacteria
Description: partial 16S ribosomal RNA
Rfam family: Bacterial small subunit ribosomal RNA
Source: RNAcentral